RNAcentral lists this ribosomal RNA (441 nucleotides) under uncultured bacterium. RNAcentral's name for it is "partial 16S ribosomal RNA". It matches the Rfam family "Bacterial small subunit ribosomal RNA", at positions 338 to 795 of the family's 1533-position model. The record is from RNAcentral.
CCUACGGGGUGCUGCAGUGGGGGAUAUUGCACAAUGGGGGAAACCCUGAUGCAGCGACGCCGCGUGGGUGAAGAAGCGCCUCGGCGCGUAAAGCCCUGUCAGCAGGGAAGAAAAUGACGGUACCUGAAGAAGAAGCCCCGGCUAACUACGUGCCAGCAGCCGCGGUAAUACGUAGGGGGCAAGCGUUAUCCGGAUUGACUGGGUGUAAAGGGGGCGCAGACGGGGAUGCAAGCCAGGAGUGAAAGCCCGGGGCCCAACCCCGGGACUGCUCUUGGAACUGCGUGGCUAGAGUGCAGGAGGGGCAGGCGGAAUUCCUGGGGUAGCGGUGAAAUGCGUAGAUAGCAGGAGGAACACCGGUGGCGAAGGCGGCCUGCUGGACUGCAACUGACGUUGAGGCCCGAAAGCGUGGGGAGCAAACAGGAUUAGAUACCCCUUGUAGUC